AACGUGCAUUAUGAAUCUAUCUGGUUUUAUACAAAGAAAAUACUGUCCAUUACUGAAUUUUUUUCUGAUACGUUAUUUUUGGACGAUAUUAUCCAAUUCCAAGACAACAAUUUCUACAGUUUAAUGAAUGUCUUACAUUUAUAUCCAUUUUGAUUUACUCACGUUCAACCAAUGGAAAUCUUGAUGAAAGAACGCUAUACUGAAAAUCCACACGAAAAUUGUUCUGACACUAUCCAAAACCAUCCGGGUAGUAGCUGAAAGUUCUUUCGUAACACUGAUACCAGCAAAAUUAAAGAAAGCGAUUGAUAUGAUAGUACCUGAAAUAUUAUGUAAUGAUAAAUAACAAUAAAGAUUUAAAUUUAUGUGAA
Molecule: long non-coding RNA, 368 nt
Organism: Diorhabda carinulata
Lineage: Eukaryota; Metazoa; Arthropoda; Insecta; Coleoptera; Chrysomelidae
Exons: 2
Source: RefSeq, a predicted model, not a curated record